GUGUGCAUGAUGCAACUUCCUGGAUGGUGUGUAGGCUGUGUGUCAACAUGUGAAUCUCACGUGCAUUUCAGGGUAGGAGUUAUCUCCCCUUGAAAAGAUCAAUAAUGGCGGAUAAACAAUGCGCAUGCAGUCUGGUCGUCAACGGACAGUUUUGACACCCGUAUACCCAUAUUUCUACCAAAUACCUCUGAAACCUUUGUUGUGUUCAUCACACAGAUGAUGGACCACUCUACUUCAUUUUACAACAGGUGCCCCUACAGAUUCACAAAGUUCCAGUGUUGAGUUUCGAUAACCCCUAUUCAUCCACGACAGGAAAAGGAAUAGAGUUGACAGGACUUCCCGCACUGUCCCUGGUAGCAGUUUAUGAGGGAACCAACUGCAGUAGACAUAGCACGCUUCAUCAAAGAUGCACCAGAUGCAGCGGCACUGUCUCCAUCAC
This is a long non-coding RNA of Saccostrea cuccullata (small rock oyster), 439 nucleotides long. RefSeq lists it as uncharacterized. The transcript is spliced from 5 exons. Lineage: Eukaryota; Metazoa; Mollusca; Bivalvia; Ostreida; Ostreidae. The record is from RefSeq and is a predicted model, not a curated record.